RNAcentral lists this ribosomal RNA (300 nucleotides) under uncultured Lactobacillus sp. RNAcentral describes it as "bacterial SSU rRNA". It matches the Rfam family "Bacterial small subunit ribosomal RNA", at positions 496 to 795 of the family's 1533-position model. The record is from RNAcentral. Lineage: Bacteria; Bacillati; Bacillota; Bacilli; Lactobacillales; Lactobacillaceae.
UGUAAAUUGGUGGCAGCCGCCGGGGUGAUAGGAAGGGUGGAAGCGUUAAUCGGAAUUACUGGGCGUAAAGCGCGCGUAGGUGGUUUGUUAAGUUGGAUGUGAAAGCCCCGGGCUCAACCUGGGAACUGCAUCCAAAACUGGCAAGCUAGAGUACGGUAGAGGGUGGUGGAAUUUCCUGUGUAGCGGUGAAAUGCGUAGAUAUAGGAAGGAACACCAGUGGCGAAGGCGACCACCUGGACUGAUACUGACACUGAGGUGCGAAAGCGUGGGGAGCAAACAGGAUUAGAUACCCGUGUAGUC